This 253-nucleotide ribosomal RNA is filed under the name uncultured bacterium. RNAcentral's name for it is "partial 16S ribosomal RNA". It matches the Rfam family "Bacterial small subunit ribosomal RNA", at positions 524 to 776 of the family's 1533-position model. The record is from RNAcentral.
UACGAAGGGGGCUAGCGUUGCUCGGAAUUACUGGGCGUAAAGGGCGCGUAGGCGGACAGUUAAGUCAGAGGUGAAAGCCCAGGGCUCAACCCUGGAAUAGCCUUUGAUACUGGCUGUCUUGAGUGCGGGAGAGGUGUGUGGAACUCCGAGUGUAGAGGUGAAAUUCGUAGAUAUUCGGAAGGACACCAGUGGCGAAGGCGACACACUGGCCCGUAACUGACGCUGAGGCGCGAAAGCGUGGGGAGCAAACAGG